UACGAAGGGGGCUAGCGUUGCUCGGAAUGACUGGGCGUAAAGGGCGUGUAGGCGGCUUGAAUAGUCGGGUGUGAAAUUCCUGGGCUCAACCUGGGGGCUGCAUCCGAGACGUUUGGGCUGGAGUGGGGAAGAGGGUCGUGGAAUUCCCAGUGUAGAGGUGAAAUUCGUAGAUAUUGGGAAGAACACCGGUGGCGAAGGCGGCGACCUGGUCCUUGACUGACGCUGAGGCGCGAAAGCGUGGGGAGCAAACAGG
RNAcentral lists this ribosomal RNA (253 nucleotides) under uncultured prokaryote. RNAcentral describes it as "partial 16S ribosomal RNA". It matches the Rfam family "Bacterial small subunit ribosomal RNA", at positions 524 to 776 of the family's 1533-position model. The record is from RNAcentral.